Molecule: non-coding RNA, 121 nt
Filed under: Serratia symbiotica SCt-VLC
Lineage: Bacteria; Pseudomonadati; Pseudomonadota; Gammaproteobacteria; Enterobacterales; Yersiniaceae
Source: RNAcentral
AAUUACCGCCGUAGGGCGUAGAGGUAAUGUAUUCUAUUUUUUAGAAUUUUUACUUCACGCAAUCAGGUUUUGGCUGAAUAUCAACCGCCCCAGAUAGCAUUAAUGAGUGGGGCGCUUUUUG